AUGAGACUUUAUAUUUUAAACUUUUGAAGGUCAGAGAUGCUGAAAGAGCAACUCCAGUAAAAGAGGAGCGUAGAGAGCAGGUGUUGGUUCCCAUUUCAAAUCUUGAACCUAAAUAACAGGGGUUUGAAAAUGAUGCUACUCUUGUUCUUACUCUCCAAUUUAGAGGUGAUGAAAUCCCCCGGCCUGUGGAUUUUUUGACCAAGAUGCCACCUGACCUUACAUCCUCUGGCAGAUCCUGAUGGGAGUCGUUACAAAGAGGACAAUAUGGCUUUAUGGUGACUUUCACUGACAUGCAAGGUUUUCAGAGACAUUUUCAGCAAGCCCAAGUUCAGAGAAAAGGUCCCCUUUGUGUUGUGAACUGGAGUGCAUUUUCCAGACAAUAUGGGCAAGAGCUCCGGGUGCCUUACUCGUUGACUUUGAAAUAUACAAGGACUGCCCACCUGGAUAUGUAGGUGAUGGCAGAAGGGGAGUCCUGAAUGGGUUUUAUUCCGACAAGGAGGUUCAGUGCUAUUGCUCAUUUGAUUGUUUUUUCAAUGAUGGAGGGGAACUUCAGGCUGUGUAGAUUGUGUGUGUACGGUUAAUGUACGUGAUUAUCUGUAUGUGUGUAUUAUGUCUUUUAAACAAUUAUUUUUGUUUUGAAAUAAAAGUUAUCACUGGUAUGGGUUUGGUGUUUUUGAGUGGCAUGCAUACU
Molecule: non-coding RNA, 691 nt
Organism: Paramisgurnus dabryanus
Lineage: Eukaryota; Metazoa; Chordata; Actinopteri; Cypriniformes; Cobitidae
Source: RefSeq, a predicted model, not a curated record